Molecule: ribosomal RNA, 248 nt
Filed under: uncultured Bacillota bacterium
Lineage: Bacteria; Bacillati; Bacillota
Description: uncultured Firmicutes bacterium partial 16S ribosomal RNA
Rfam family: Bacterial small subunit ribosomal RNA
Source: RNAcentral
CACGCCGUAAACGAUGAAUGCUAGGUGUAGGGGGGGAUACUCCUCUGUGCCGGAGUUAACACAAUAAGCAUUCCACCUGGGGAGUACGGCCGCAAGGUUGAAACUCAAAGGAAUUGACGGGAGCCCGCACAAGCAGUGGAGUAUGUGGUUUAAUUCGACGCAACGCGAAGAACCUUACCGGAACUUGACAUCCGCGGAAGGCCGAUGUAAUGUUGGCCGUGCCCUUCGGGGAGCCGCGAGACAGGUGG